GCCGGGUGUGGUGGCUUACACCUGUAAUCCCAGCACUUUGGGAGGCUGAGGUGGGCAGAUCACCUGAGGUCAGGAGUUCGAGACUAGCUUGGCCAACAUGAUGAAGCCCUGUCUCUACUAAAAAUACAAAAAUUAGCCGGGUGUGGUGGUGCAGGCCUGCAGUCCCAGCUACUUGGAAGGCUGAGGCAGGAGACUCGCUUGACCUAGGAGAUGGAAGUUGCAGUGAGCCGAGAUCAUGCCAUCGUACUCCAGCCUGGGCAACAGAGUGAGACUCCAUCUCA
Molecule: small RNA, 281 nt
Filed under: Gorilla gorilla gorilla (western lowland gorilla)
Lineage: Eukaryota; Metazoa; Chordata; Mammalia; Primates; Hominidae
Description: Metazoan signal recognition particle RNA (ENSGGOG00000041460.1)
Source: RNAcentral